UACGAAGGGAGCUAGCGUUGUUCGGAAUCACUGGGCGUAAAGCGCACGUAGGCGGAUUUGCCAGUCAGGGGUGAAAUCCCGGGGCUCAACCUCGGAACUGCCUUUGAUACAGCAAGUCUUGAGUUCGAGAGAGGUGGGUGGAAUUCCUAGUGUAGAGGUGAAAUUCGUAGAUAUUAGGAAGAACACCGGUGGCGAAGGCGGCCCACUGGCUCGACACUGACGCUGAGGAGCGAAAGCGUGGGGAGCGAACAGG
RNAcentral lists this ribosomal RNA (253 nucleotides) under uncultured bacterium. RNAcentral's name for it is "partial 16S ribosomal RNA". It matches the Rfam family "Bacterial small subunit ribosomal RNA", at positions 524 to 776 of the family's 1533-position model. The record is from RNAcentral.